CCGCCCCGGUCAAGACUCUCCAGCUCCUCCUCCUUUAAGACUCCGCCUACCUUCCCCAGUGCGCAAGCGUCGCGAGGCGGUAUCAGGGCCCGGGGAUUUGAGCGGAAGGCGGGGCCAGAGUGGAAAGAGGCGGGAACUCGGAGGGGGUCGCGUGCAGCGCGCAAAAGUUCGCGCUGAGGUGCGAGGCCAGAAUGAAGGAAGGCAGCUGAGAUCCAGGGACCGGGUGGGUGGAGCAGCAACAGGCAUUUCACAACUGAAACCUAGAUGUGCAGUUUGUGGAUUACAGAUGACUUUGCUCUUACUUUCUUUUUUAGCCAACUCUCAGCUAAAAGACUUUUUAAAGAACUUUUUACUUGUGUUUUUGUUUUAUUUAAUUUUUUUUUUUUUGAGAUAGGGUCUCGCUCUGUAGGAUUGGCUGACCUGCCACUCUCUUUGUUGACAGGCUGGCCUUAAAUUCAAAGAGAUCCAUGUCUAAGAAGCCUAGCCUGCAAAUGCUAAAGUAUUUUUCUAGGGUACACCUUUAACCUCAGAACUCAGGAGGCAGAGGCAGGAGGAGCUCUGUGAAUUUAAGGCCAGCUUGGUCUUUAUACUGAGUUCAAGGUCAGCCAGAGUUACAAGGUGAUACUAUGUCUCAAAAAGUAAAUAAAUUAGCAUUUAAAAUGAUAACCAAAGAGCCAUUCUUUCUGAGAAAGGCGGAAGGGGUGUGUGUGUGUGUGUGUGUGUGUGUGUGUGUGUGUGUGUGUGUGUGUCCCAAUGGAGAGGAAGCUGAUUCUGUGACAAUUUCUUGGCAAAGCCAUCUGGGUCCCCAGUCUGGUUCAUGUCUUAGCUCCCAUGGACCAAAAGUGAUUCUAGAGUUGGGUAGAAUUGCCUCAGAGCAUGUUGGCCCUGGAAGAAAAUGGUCAUCUUUGUGUUGAAGUUGUGGGCAAUGGGAUAUUUGUUAUUGUUUCAUUCUUUGAUUGCCUUAAAUUAAAGGAACUAUUUUAUUACUGAAUCAAGCUCUCAAAAUCAGAAGCAGACCGCCUCCUCUGGACACAAGAGAUCAACCCAGUGACCCUGUGGGUCAUGAGGAUUUCACAGAAAAGCAGAGAGAAAGAAAAAGAUAGCGGCUUGGGAAAGACGUGUGGGGAAGAGGUGCAGAAAGAGAUGAUUACGGGGAACGGACAUCUGUUUCAGCUUCCUUGCAAUUGAGACUAAUCCUUACAGUUUAACCAGACUCUGCCCAGGAUACGGGAGAGGGCUCCUCCGGGUAUGGAAUAUGUGCCGGCAGCUUGUCCAGUCCCCGGUCUGAAUCCCCAGUGAUCUGGAGGGCCAUCAGAGGUCCUAUCACCAUCUGUAGCUCUGUGCAAUGAGACUUCCAUUUCACUGUGAGGACCACACCGCCCACCUGAGAUAUGAUCCCUCCAGCCUCCGCACAAAGGGCUUUGAUUUGGUGUGGAGCUGAUUAAGCGAUUGUGGAUGUCCUUGGAAGCACUACGUGCGGUGCCCUUUUGUAGAAUUCUCCAGGCAGCACAGAAUCAAGGAAACAAGACAGCACAGCUGUCUCAGCCAGAUCACCGCUGCUUGCCAGUUGAACAAACUCUCUGACCUUGGAGCCAGUUUCUUUACAUUUCGACAAGAGUACUUGGUUGCAGGAGCCAUGCCAACUCUGGUUCUAUCCACCGGAACUGGAAUUUCCUGAAGAAAUACUGACAGGAUCUCAAGAGGCUGAUUUGGAAAUUCAGCUGGAAACCAAAGGCUGGUGUAAAAAGAAUCACCCUCAGACGGUGUGGGGCUGAGGUCCAGCCUCAAGGCAUUGCUACUAAAUGCCACCCUCAGGCUCAUCAACCUACAGAGGAUACCUAAUCUCCCCUCCGUUUUUUGUGCUUUAUAUUGCAAACCCCAAGUCCCCAGGGGGUUACACCCAUCUGGGCAACCCCCUUCUGAGACACUGCUAAGAAGGGAGCACUGAGGAGAGGCCUCCCUGCUGCAGCGUGUGAUGCAAAUUGCACAAACUUCUGUUCCUAAAUGAUGUCCAUGGAAAGGGUCUCACAGGAGGCAGGGCCACUGCCUUCCCUGUCUCCUUGGUGAAAUGGACUGUGCAAGGCGGGGUAAGACAAAGCAUUGAACAGCGCGUUUGUUCAAAAGCUCUUGGCAUAUAAAAGGUAUUCUGUCAUCUUACUCCCCUCUUUAAUAAAACAAAAGGCUGGGAAUGAUGUA
Rattus norvegicus (Norway rat) is the source of this 2196-nucleotide non-coding RNA. Lineage: Eukaryota; Metazoa; Chordata; Mammalia; Rodentia; Muridae. The record is from RefSeq and is a predicted model, not a curated record.